UCCUACGCCCACGCCACCCUGAACGUGCCGGAUCCCGUCUGAUCUCGGAAGCUAAGCAGUGUCGGGCCUGGUUAGUCCUUGGAUGGGAGACCACCCAGGAAGACCAGGUGCUGUAGGCG
This 119-nucleotide ribosomal RNA is filed under the name Pteropus alecto (black flying fox). Lineage: Eukaryota; Metazoa; Chordata; Mammalia; Chiroptera; Pteropodidae. The record is from RNAcentral.